UUUUUAUUUUACUUAUAAAUUCAUUUUUAAAAUAAUGAUUUCAAUUAUUUAUUCAUUUCAAUAAAUUUGAUUGUAAUACAUAAUAACUUAUUUAUAUUGCACCUUGACCUGAUGUUAAAUAUUUUAUUUUUAGAAAAUUAUUUUUAUUUUUAUAAAAAUCUGUCAACGGAGAUAUACAAAAAUAAAAUAAGUAAGAUUUUCGUGUAUUUUCGAUAAAAUUACAUAUUCCUUUAGAAAAUUAAAUACUGUCAAAAUUUUUAAGUUUCAAUCUUACUACUUUAGAAUUAUAAAAUUUCAAGGAUAAUAGGGUAUCUAAUCCUAGUUUCUUUCUUAAUUUUAUGUGAAAUAAAUUAAAUAAUAUUACAAUUAAAAGAUUUCACCCCUUUAUAUGCAUAUAUAUAUAUU
This 405-nucleotide ribosomal RNA is filed under the name Kumbadjena shannonensis. RNAcentral describes it as "partial 12S ribosomal RNA". Lineage: Eukaryota; Metazoa; Onychophora; Udeonychophora; Euonychophora; Peripatopsidae. The record is from RNAcentral.